Long non-coding RNA from Helianthus annuus (common sunflower), 604 nucleotides. RefSeq lists it as uncharacterized. The transcript is spliced from 2 exons. The record is from RefSeq and is a predicted model, not a curated record. Lineage: Eukaryota; Viridiplantae; Streptophyta; Magnoliopsida; Asterales; Asteraceae.
ACAUGCAUGUAUAUGUUAAAGAAGAAAGUAAAGCAAAUAUAGGCAGUCUUUCUAUAUAUAUGUUAAAGAAGAAAAUAAAGAAAAGCUAAGGAACAAAGUAAAAGGAGGAGGAAGGCAUUCAAACCAAGUGAAGCUAGAUACUAGUUCAUCAUCUCUUAAUUUCAGUUUAGUUAGGUAGCUGCUGCAUAUAUAAUGAGCAGGCAUUGUAGCAGGGCACUAAUUAUAUUAUUAGGAUGCCUUUUCUUCUUCUUCUUCUUCUUCAUUGUUGGUGAUGUUCACAAAGCAACAACUGUCUCUAAUAUCCAUCCAAAGAAGCUGGUGCCAAGUUUAGGCAUGAACAAAAGAAGAGUUCCCAAUGGACCUGACCCUAUUCAUAACAGGAGAUCAGGAAACUCUAGAAGACCCCCGGGGCAGGCAUAGAUAGUCAUGUCAAACCGCAGAAGAUGGAACUAGUCUUUAAACUAACAAAGAGUAUCUAGCUACUGGUAACAUAGAUAUUUGUUAAAUGAUUUGAAAUUUGUGUAACUAUUGAUUUGUAUGAUAUAAAGUUAGCAAUAAGUGACUUUGGAAUCAACAAGUGGUAGAAAAAAAAAGUUGAUGGAAA